CCAAUGAAAUGGAAGCUCGCGCAAGUCACUUUUGCGCUUCGUGUAUGAUCGUCUGUGUAUUUCAUGUAAUAGAACCCCUGAAUUUGCAGAAGUAAAGAAAAUGUCGGAUUUUCCCGAUUUUUUUUUUAGUUUUGCGCCCCGUGUAUGAUUGUAGGCGCAGGUAAUUUCAUAAUGUCAUCAGACUGAGGUAAACAAAAAUGUCGGAUUCCAGCGACAAGGAUUAAAUAAUUAUUCUAAUGACGGUAAGAAUUGGUUUUUUUUUUUUUUUUUAAAUGUAUAUAUCAUACAAAUUAUUAAUCAUAUUUUACAGAAUUUUCAUCUAAUUGAAAAAUGCUUUUCUUCCGUUAUUUUAUUAGAUUAUUUAUUAAAACACAAUUUUAAUGAUAAAAUAAAAUUUAACAGUGGCGGAUCCAGGGGCGUAGAUAGUGUACGUCCCCUAAUCAUGUUUUUUCACAGAUAUUUGUAGCCGAUAUUUAUUCCUUUUUGUAUAGGUACCCCCCAUUUUAAAUCGAAAUUUAAUUGAAUUUUCGCAAAGGAAAUGAUAGUUUUACAUUUUAUUUUUUUCAAAACUGAAAGAAGAAACAUUUAGUAAUUGUUUCCAAAAUUAAGGGAAUUCGUAACUAUCC
This 626-nucleotide long non-coding RNA is filed under the name Mytilus galloprovincialis (Mediterranean mussel). The record is from RNAcentral. Lineage: Eukaryota; Metazoa; Mollusca; Bivalvia; Mytilida; Mytilidae.